UCAAGCUACAAAGGGCGCAAGGAGAAUGCCUUGGCACUGGGAGCCGAUGAAAGACGUGGUAAGCUGCGAUAAGCUUCGGGGAGGAGCAAACAUCCUUUGAUCCGGAGAUUUCUGAAUGAGGAAACUCACCAGAGUUCAUACUCUGGUAUCCUGUACUGAAUCCAUAGGUACAGGAGGGGAACCGCCUGAACUGAAACAUCUAAGUAGGGCGAGGAAGAGACAUCAAACGAGAUUCCGUUAGUAGUGGCGAGCGAACGCGGAAGAGGGCAAACCGGAAGGAGAAAUCCUUCCGGGGUAUGGACCGCAUUUAGGACUUUAGCUGUUAAUCGAAUGGCAUGGGAAGGCCAACCAAAGAGUGUGAGAGUCACGUAGAUGAAAACGGCGAGAGCUGCGCGAGUUCCGGAGUACGGCCAGACACGUGAAACCUGGUCGGAAGAUGGGGGGACCACCCUCCAACCCUAAAUACUACCCAGUGACCGAUAGCGUAUAGUACUGUGAAGGAAAGGUGAAAAGGACCCCGGGAGGGGAGUGAAAUAGAACCUGAAACCUUGUGCCUACAAGCACAUAGAGCACAUCAACGUGUGAUAUGGUACUUUUUGUAGAACGGUCCGGCGAGCGAUUGUAUGUUGCGAGCUUAAGGUCUUAAGGACUGGAGGCGCAGCGAGAGCGAGUCUGAAUAGGGCGUUCAGUAACAUGCAAUGGGCCCGAAACCGGGUGACCUACCCAUGAUCAGGCUGAAGUGAAAGUAAAAUUUCAUGGAGGGCCGAACCGACCUCCGUUGAAAAGGCGGCGGAUGAAUUGUGGGUAGCGGAGAAAUUCCAAUCGAACUCGGAGAUAGCUGGUUCUCCCCGAAAUAGCUUUAGGGCUAGCCUCAUAUUAGAUACCCGGAGGUAAAGCACUGAAUGGCCUAGCGCCCGAGAGGGUAGCGAAGCCUAUCAAACUAAGAAUGCCGGAGUAUUGAUGUAUGGGAGUCAGACAGUGUGAGAUAAAUCUCAUUGUCAAAAGGGAAACAGCCCAGAUCUACAGCUAAGGUCCCAAAUUGUAUCUAAGUGGAAAACGAUGUGGAAAUACGCAGACAACCAGGAUGUUGGCUCAGAAGCAGCCACUCAUUUAAAGAGUGCGUAAUAGCUCACUGGUCGAGCGUCUCUGCGCGGAAAAUUUAACGGGGCUAAGAUACAAACCGAAGCUUAGGCUGCACGAAAGUGCGGGGUAGGGGAGCGUUGUGUAAGCGGAGAAACAGUAGCGUAAGCGGCUGUGGAGUUUACAGAAGUGAGAAUGCCGGAAUGAGUAGCGCGAAUGUGGUGAGAAUCCACAUGGCCGGAAACCUCAGGUUUUUGGAGGAAGGUUCGUCCGCUCCAAGUUAGGCGGGAGCUAAGGUCAGGCCGAAAGGCGUAGCCGAUGCACAGACGGUAGAGAUUCCGUCCCCACCGAAAGAUUUAAGCACAGGGACACUUUUUGAAGGUCGGAGCCAGGUGUUGGUUCUGGUAGUGAUCGAGGGAAAUAUAGUACCGAAGUCCGGCUGGAAGAGAGGCGAGAAAAGCUGUGUGUAUAUCUAAGGUGCCCGUACCGCAAACCGACACAGGUAGGUAGGAAGAAGAUUCUAAGGCCAACGGGAGAAGGGUUGUUAAGGAACUCGGCAAGUUGACCCCGUAACUUCGGAAUAAGGGGUGCUCACGAGAGUGAGCCGCAGAGAAUAGGCCCAGGCAACUGUUUACCAAAAACACAGGUUUGUGCUAAAUCGAAAGAUGACGUAUACGAGCUGACGCCUGCCCGGUGCUGGAAGGUUAAAAGGAGAUGUGCAAGCAUUGAAUUGAAGCCCCAGUGAACGGCGGCCGUAACUAUAACGGUCCUAAGGUAGCGAAAUUCCUUGUCAGGUAAGUUCUGACCCGCAUGAAAGGCGUAAUGAUCUGGGCACUGUCUCAACAGCCCGCCCGGCGAAAUUGUAGUACCGGUGAAGAUGCCGGUUACCCGCGACAA
This 1977-nucleotide ribosomal RNA is filed under the name human gut metagenome. RNAcentral's name for it is "bacterial LSU rRNA". It matches the Rfam family "Bacterial large subunit ribosomal RNA", at positions 3 to 2078 of the family's 2925-position model. The record is from RNAcentral.